Orcinus orca (killer whale) is the source of this 2398-nucleotide long non-coding RNA. RefSeq lists it as uncharacterized. The transcript is spliced from 3 exons. The record is from RefSeq and is a predicted model, not a curated record. NCBI's taxonomy places the organism in Eukaryota, Metazoa, Chordata, Mammalia, Artiodactyla, Delphinidae.
GCACCCAGUCUCCUAGCAACACGCUGGCGGCGCACGGCAUCCGGAGCGGAGAGAUGCCGGGCUGCUGGGCGGGGAUCCAGGGUCGUCUGAGCAGGGCCAUCCCCAGGGCAGCGGGGAGAGGACAGGGUCUGAGGCCUUGUGUCCACCGCUCUGAGCGCGUGGGACGAGGCAUGAAAACAAGUCAGCCCUGAACAUGGAGAAUCUGGUUCCUGCCCACCGGAGCAGAGCUCCUGUGUCCCACCUCCCCUCCACCUGCUGAAACGUCAUUGGCACCCAGCAGGUCCCCGGCCUGCCGGUGAAAAGCUCCACUGCCCUCCCGCGGUGAGGCUGGCUCCAGCGCCAGCUGCUGUACUAUCUCAAGACCUCGAUCCAGCUGCAUCACUGCAGUGCCAGGGCCAGCUCCAGAGAGGCCCAGCAAAAACAAGGCAAACGUCACUGGUAGAAAGACAACUGAACCUAGGAAAGCAUUCCUCAGAACCCAAAGCCAGAGGAAGGUUAGCAUCCCUGUGGUACCGAAAACUCUCAAAAGUCAAUGUUUUAAAAAAGGUACAGAGAACAAACACAUGCAGUGCAAACGAGAAGUGAUGCACGUGGCCAUAAGCAGCAGAGAUGCUCGCCUCCCUGCUCUGGACGCACACAAAUGUCCUCACCGCCAAGGAGCACUGGGUUACCAUCACUGGUGGGUGUUUAUUUCUGGUGAUGGUGUGAGGGAGCAGAGGCCCCAUCAGCUGCCCUGGAGGGACACUCCUCUCUGGAGAAGAGCUUUCGGGACCUGUCAAAGUCCCACGGGUGUAUACCUUUACUAGUGGUAAUUUAUCCAAAAGAAAUCCUUGCACAAUAUUUCAAACAUCCAUUGAUACGACUGCUCAUCAGGGCCUACACAGACUCUCCAGUGCAGGCCAUGCCCUGGUCCUGGCCCCAUCCCCGCCCCCGCCCCUCCUGCAUCUUAAUGCAGCUUCUGAGCUGAGCACCCAGCCCUGCUGUCCAGGACACCGGAGGGCGUGGCCUGCCCGCUCCCUCUCCUCCAGGCAUCCAUCCAGGGGAUGUUCUCAGCUGCAACAGCAGGACCCUUGAGCUCCUGUGAGCAGAGGAGGCCUUCACAGAGCACAGGGGUGGGUGGGGGCCUCAGGGAAGCUGCUGGAAGGUCAGAGCAUCAGGCUGGGGGCUUUGGAGACGGAGCACUGCUCAGACUGCAUCUCAGGCUCCACGGGAGUGCGGGCUGCCACCCCGAGCCCAAGCUUCAGUCACACUCAACUCUGCCUGGCAGGGAGGAGUCGGAGAGCCUCACCUGCCUCAAAGUGGGUUGGGGACAGGGGGGUCCACAUGGUCUGAGGCUGUCGGAUGAAGCCACAGCCACUUGUGUCUUAUCUACCCAGACUUGGAGACCCCCAAGCAGACAGCGUUGGUCCUCAAGGGGGGAAUUCACCAGGCUCUCCCUGGAGGAAGGGGAGGGAAGACCCUGACCGUAUGGUGAGCAGGUGAGGGCAGAGAGCAGGGAUGCGUGACGGCCGCGUGGCUGGGGCAGUGCCACCUGGUGGUCGAGGCACAGGCUCUGAGGUCAGACAGACCCCGUCACCGGGGAAGGUGUUGCUAUUCGAGCCACAGUUUGCUCGUCUGUGAAGUGGGGCCAGCAGUGGCCUUCUAAGGUGAUAUGGAGACAGGCUCAGUGCGACUGCACUUGGGGGCCCCCGUAUGUGCUCAGUGACAAGAACCCAACAAAGGGCCACCUGGAAAGAGCACCCGUCCCCGUGGGAGGCACAUUCUCAGGGGCUGCGGGUACACUGUGAAGUACUGUAGCUGUCCUUCACAUGUGACAAGAGGCGUCAAGGUGCCUGUCCCCUGUGCCCCAAGAACGGGACCCUGGGAAAAAGCAAAGCGGCGAUUUGCCCAAGGACAUCUCAGCAGUGGUGUCUGGAGCACAGGAGGCCUGGGAUGUAUCUUGGAAAAGUGAAUGACCGUAAGCUCAGCCAGGCGGUGACUGACUCCCGUUGCUGCUUCCUCGGUGUGAUUUCAUUGCCUGAGCAGAAUAGCACAUCCCUCGGUACCUGGCAUGCAGCUAUUGAUCUGGGAAAUGCCUCUUCCUCCAUACCUGCUAGGAAAGACCACCAGAAUCAGAGCCGGCCAGCAGAACUCAUUCAUGUCCUGCCUCAGGCUGUAUCAGGUCUCCAGCCCGAUGUCACGGUUUUUUCCCUUCGUUCUCUUACAGUGUUGCAUUGAUUGGUGUUUGCAUGUUAACCCAUCCUUAGAAGGUCCUACCUCGCUGUGCUUGUAGCACUCCUGAGCGUCUGCAUGUGGGCCUCUGGAUGGAAUCUGUACUUUCUACCGUUCCAUGUGUCUGUCCUGCACCACGACCGCACUACCUUGUUUACUGUUGCUGAAUUAAAAGUCUGGAUAUCUA